Molecule: ribosomal RNA, 1154 nt
Filed under: Triticum aestivum (bread wheat)
Lineage: Eukaryota; Viridiplantae; Streptophyta; Magnoliopsida; Poales; Poaceae
Description: partial small subunit ribosomal RNA
Source: RNAcentral
AUUCUGAUAUUUAUGUGAGAACAGAUUCGAGUUAAGCAUGACCUAGGGGGGCCGUCUGGUGGACUGGGCACGCUCGCUCUACCGGCGGUCUUCCGUGCGGCCCUCGUCGAGGCCAAGGUGAAGCCGCUUGGAUUCGUACUUCGACGACCACCUCCACCUGUCUGCGCCGUGCGGGUCCGCGCACCACAUGCGGCUCCGACCGUUCCUGCAGCAGCUGAAGGAGGAGUGGAAGGAGUGGAACGGCUAGCCGUGCCAGCAGUUCGACGAGGCCUCCUUGAGGUACGGGUACCAUCCGACGCAGCCGUUGGACAUGCCGUCGCAGCUCUUCGAGGGGCUGCUGAAGUAGACGGUGUCCCUGCGAUCCCGGCGGUUCCUGUGCGACGAGUCCGGGCGGCCGCCGUCCGAAGGGGACGAGUGGUUGCGCCCCAGCAGGUCGUGGCCGCCGAAACACUCCCGCCCGCACUGGAUGUGCCAGUACCUGCUGGAGCUCCAACGAGGGUCCAGAUUGCAGCUAAAGUAGUGGUCGGAGUUGUUUAUACCAUAGUCCCUGUAGUCGACAGAGGUGCCCUUCCUACAGGUUCAACCGGUGUGGCUCCCAGAGGUCUAUGACUCCCGCAGUGAGUUCAGCUUCUGCCAGGAGUGGCUGCAGAAGGAAGCCUGCUUGUGAGGCUCAGGCUCAGGCUCCCGGAAUUGGCGUCCCACUUCACAGGAGCGGCACAGUAGGAACACCACGCACGUACACACAGAAAACCAGUAUACCAAGCACCGGAAGCCGUAGGAACUGACUUCGAGUGAAGAACUUGGGUGCUUUGGACACAACCAGUGACCAAGUGCCGAGUGUAUGAUACUUAUUUCCGUUCCUCAAUAUAGUAGUCCACAGAGAAGUAAUUAAUCUACUAAAAAUUGUUCAGAGUUAGCGUGGUUGAUAGGAAGAGAGGUCCAGUGUGGUAUAUCAUCACGUUAAUUAAUAUCAUGAACCAUUAUUUCCUACGGAAACUCUAAACAAAAACUUUCUUGAUCACUGUCGUUUUGCUGUGAGAGGCCCUUGUCCUAGGCCGGAACAUAGUGUAACAUACGCUAUGCUUACUAUGAAAAUGUGUUCAUGAGUUGAGGAAAGGGCGGCCUAUGUAGGAAACGCGUCGUCAACCAGCCGG